UAGUAGAACUUCUGACUGUUCCUCUUCGU
Molecule: non-coding RNA, 29 nt
Filed under: Mus musculus (house mouse)
Lineage: Eukaryota; Metazoa; Chordata; Mammalia; Rodentia; Muridae
Source: RNAcentral